RNAcentral lists this ribosomal RNA (253 nucleotides) under uncultured bacterium. RNAcentral's name for it is "partial 16S ribosomal RNA". It matches the Rfam family "Bacterial small subunit ribosomal RNA", at positions 524 to 776 of the family's 1533-position model. The record is from RNAcentral.
UACGUAGGAUCCGAGCGUUGUCCGGAAUUACUGGGUGUAAAGGGCGUGUAGGUGGGUUCCUAAGUCGAUGGUGAAAUCCUGCAGCUUAACUGCAGAACUGCCUUCGAUACUGGGGAUCUUGAGUGCGGCAGAGGGAGAUGGAAUUCAUGGUGUAGCGGUGAAAUGUGUAGAUAUCAUGAAGAACACCGGUAGCGAAGGCGGUCUCCUGGUCCGCAACUGACACUGAGGCGCGAAAGCGUGGGGAGCAAACAGG